UGCCCAAGAGAUCGGGAUAACACCUGGAAACAGAUGCUAAUACCGGAUAACAACAGAUGAUGCCUAUCAACUGUUUAAAAGAUGGUUCUGCUAUCACUCUUGGAUGGACCUGCGGUGCAUUAGCUAGUUGGUAGGGUAACGGCCUACCAAGGCGAUGAUGCAUAGCCGAGUUGAGAGACUGAUCGGCCACAUUGGGACUGAGACACGGCCCAAACUCCUACGGGAGGGGU
Molecule: ribosomal RNA, 230 nt
Filed under: uncultured Lactobacillus sp.
Lineage: Bacteria; Bacillati; Bacillota; Bacilli; Lactobacillales; Lactobacillaceae
Description: partial 16S ribosomal RNA
Rfam family: Bacterial small subunit ribosomal RNA
Source: RNAcentral